AAAAAGACAAACCCUGGGUUUCCGUGUCCAACUUUUGACCGUCCAUCUUAUUUGAAAAAAUUAUGAAAAAAAUUAAAAAGAUAAGUCAUACAUAAAGUAUUAAUCAUGUUUUAUCACAUAACAUCAAUAAAAAUACUGAUUAUAAAAAAAUUUCAUAUAAAACGGACAGUCAAACGUUGGACACGGAAACCCAGGGUUUGUCUUUUU
Molecule: microRNA precursor, 207 nt
Filed under: Oryza rufipogon (brownbeard rice)
Lineage: Eukaryota; Viridiplantae; Streptophyta; Magnoliopsida; Poales; Poaceae
Description: MIR812 microRNA precursor family
Rfam family: MIR812 microRNA precursor family
Source: Rfam by way of RNAcentral